Molecule: transfer RNA, 53 nt
Filed under: Protostrongylus rufescens
Lineage: Eukaryota; Metazoa; Nematoda; Chromadorea; Rhabditida; Metastrongylidae
Description: tRNA-Thr
Source: RNAcentral
GCUAAUGUAGUUUAUUAGAAUUUUUAAUUUGUAAUUAAAGGGUUUGGUUAGCU